This 253-nucleotide unclassified non-coding RNA is filed under the name uncultured Actinomycetes bacterium. RNAcentral's name for it is "uncultured actinobacterium contains 16S-23S intergenic spacer region". It matches the Rfam family "Bacterial small subunit ribosomal RNA", at positions 524 to 776 of the family's 1533-position model. The record is from RNAcentral. Lineage: Bacteria; Bacillati; Actinomycetota; Actinomycetes.
UACGUAGGGGGCAAGCGUUGUCCGGAAUUAUUGGGCGUAAAGAGCUCGUAGGCGGCUUGUCGCGUCUGCUGUGAAAACUCAAGGCUUAACUUUGGGCGUGCAGUGGGUACGGGCAGGCUAGAGUGCGGUAGGGGAGACUAGAAUUCCUGGUGUAGCGGUGAAAUGCGCAGAUAUCAGGAGGAACACCGGUGGCGAAGGCGGGUCUCUGGGCCGUAACUGACGCUGAGGAGCGAAAGCAUGGGGAGCGAACAGG